GGGUCCAUGGUCUAGUGGUACGAUUCUCCCUUCGGGCAGCGCCCGCAGCGUGAUGCUGUGAAAAUGGGAGAGGUCCUGGGUUCGAUCCCCGGUGGACCCC
RNAcentral lists this transfer RNA (100 nucleotides) under Marasmius sp. AFHP31. RNAcentral describes it as "tRNA-Pro". It matches the Rfam family "tRNA". Rfam says of the family: Transfer RNA (tRNA) molecules are approximately 80 nucleotides in length. Their secondary structure includes four short double-helical elements and three loops (D, anti-codon, and T loops). Lineage: Eukaryota; Fungi; Basidiomycota; Agaricomycetes; Agaricales; Marasmiaceae. The record is from RNAcentral.